GUUUUCCCUUCAGCAGCACACAUGCUAAAAUUAGAAUGAUCCAGAGUUAGUAUAGCACCUGGAUAAGGGCAACAUGCAACCUCAUGAAGUGUUCUACAGUCUA
Molecule: small nuclear RNA, 103 nt
Organism: Ursus maritimus (polar bear)
Lineage: Eukaryota; Metazoa; Chordata; Mammalia; Carnivora; Ursidae
Source: Ensembl